UAUUCAUUCAAAAAAUUUUAAAUUUAUUUUAAAAUUUUUUUUUUGUGCGUACGAUAAUUUUUCAGAAGAUCCGAUAAUUUGACGGCACUGUGUCGAUCAGACAAGCAAAAGUUUCUGGGAACACUGAUCGAGGGUCUUAUUAUGUGACUGAACAGAAACUUUAGUUAAUCCCUCCGAUAGCGUGAGGGAAUAAACCUUGGACUUGAGGCGGAGAGGACACCGGGUUCGAUUCCUGGAUGAUACAGAAUUAUUUUUUCGGUGACCUAAACUUCUUUUUAAUUUGAGUGAUAGAAAUUUACGAUGUUGCAUCGUAUAAAUUACGAUGUUUGAGUUCUGGUCCGGCACUGCAAUAUCCGAUACUAAAAAUUACGAUGUUUUCAUUGUAAUUUUUCGUACAAUUUUCUUUCCGUGUAGAGGUAAAAGGGCGUAUAGCUAAGGGUUAAUAGGGAUUUGUGCUGAAAGGGCGUAUAAAAAAAUUUUUUUUUGCAAUUUGGUUUGAAAUUGUCUGAAACGUGAAAAUCUGUGAA
This is a long non-coding RNA of Cotesia glomerata, 527 nucleotides long. RefSeq lists it as uncharacterized. The record is from RefSeq and is a predicted model, not a curated record. The transcript has 4 exons. NCBI's taxonomy places the organism in Eukaryota, Metazoa, Arthropoda, Insecta, Hymenoptera, Braconidae.